This is a long non-coding RNA of Apus apus (common swift), 302 nucleotides long. RefSeq lists it as uncharacterized. The record is from RefSeq and is a predicted model, not a curated record. Lineage: Eukaryota; Metazoa; Chordata; Aves; Apodiformes; Apodidae. The transcript has 3 exons.
CUUUUUAAUGCUCUAAGGCCUCCUCAAAGCUAUAAGGUCUCCUCAAAGUCUUCUUAAAGCCUGAAGGUCUCUUCAAAGUCUUCUCAAGGCUCUUAGGUCUCCUCAAAGUCUUCUCAAAACCUUAAGGUCUCCUCAAAGCCCUAAGGUCUCCCCAAGGUCUUCCCAAGGUCUUCUCAAAACCUUAAGGUCUCCUCAAAGCCCUAAGGUCUUCCCAAGGUCUUCCCAAGGUCUUCUCAAUCUCUUCCUUCUAGGCUUAGAGAAAUUUCAACGAGAAACUUGGAACCAGCCAGCCUAGGAGAACA